GCUCGCUUCAGCAGUGCAUUUACUAAAAUUGGAACGACACAGAGAUUAGCAGGACCCUGCACAGGGAUGACGUGCUAAGUCAGGAAGCAUUCCACUUGCUU
Molecule: small nuclear RNA, 101 nt
Organism: Rattus norvegicus (Norway rat)
Lineage: Eukaryota; Metazoa; Chordata; Mammalia; Rodentia; Muridae
Source: Ensembl